Molecule: ribosomal RNA, 156 nt
Filed under: uncultured bacterium
Lineage: Bacteria
Description: partial 16S ribosomal RNA
Rfam family: Bacterial small subunit ribosomal RNA
Source: RNAcentral
UAAGGAAUAUUGGUCAAUGGACGCAAGUCUGAACCAGCCAUGCCGCGUGAAGGAUGACAGCCCUACGGGUUGUAAACUUCUUUUGUACGGGAAAAGACCACCGGUCGUGUACCGGUGCUGAUGGUACCGUAAGAAUAAGCAUCGGCUAACUCCGUG